GUUGGGUAGGGGAGCGUUCUGUAAGCCUGCGAAGGUGGCCUGUGAGGGUUGCUGGAGGUAUCAGAAGUGCGAAUGCUGACAUAAGUAACGAUAAAGCGGGUGAAAAGCCCGCUCGCCGGAAGACCAAGGGUUCCUGUCCAACGUUAAUCGGGGCAGGGUGAGUCGACCCCUAAGGCGAGGCCGAAAGGCGUAGUCGAUGGGAAACGGGUUAAUAUUCCCGUACUUGGUGUUACUGCGAAGGGGGGACGGAGAAGGCUAUGUUGGCCGGGCGACGGUUGUCCCGGUUUAAGCGUGUAGGCUGGUUUUCCAGGCAAAUCCGGAAAAUCAAGGCUGAGGCGUGAUGACGAGGCACUACGGUGCUGAAGCAACAAAUGCCCUGCUUCCAGGAAAAGCCUCUAAGCAUCAGGUAACAUCAAAUCGUACCCCAAACCGACACAGGUGGUCAGGUAGAGAAUACCAAGGCGCUUGAGAGAACUCGGGUGAAGGAACUAGGCAAAAUGGUGCCGUAACUUCGGGAGAAGGCACGCUGACACGUAGGUGAAGUGAUUUACUCAUGGAGCUGAAGUCAGUCGAAGAUACCAGCUGGCUGCAACUGUUUAUUAAAAACACAGCACUGUGCAAACACGAAAGUGGACGUAUACGGUGUGACGCCUGCCCGGUGCCGGAAGGUUAAUUGAUGGGGUCAGCGCAAGCGAAGCUCCUGAUCGAAGCCCCGGUAAACGGCGGCCGUAACUAUAACGGUCCUAAGGUAGCGAAAUUCCUUGUCGGGUAAGUUCCGACCUGCACGAAUGGCGUAAUGAUGGCCAGGCUGUCUCCACCCGAGACUCAGUGAAAUUGAACUCGCUGUGAAGAUGCAGUGUACCCGCGGCAAGACGGAAAGACCCCGUGAACCUUUACUAUAGCUUGACACUGAACAUUGAGCCUUGAUGUGUAGGAUAGGUGGGAGGCUUUGAAGUGUGGACGCCAGUCUGCAUGGAGCCAACCUUGAAAUACCACCCUUUAAUGUUUGAUGUUCUAACGUGGACCCGUUACCCGGGUUGCGGACAGUGUCUGGUGGGUAGUUUGACUGGGGCGGUCUCCUCCUAAAGAGUAACGGAGGAGCACGAAGGUUGGCUAAUCCUGGUCGGACAUCAGGAGGUUAGUGCAAUGGCAUAAGCCAGCUUGACUGCGAGCGUGACGGCGCGAGCAGGUGCGAAAGCAGGUCAUAGUGAUCCGGUGGUUCUGAAUGGAAGGGCCAUCGCUCAACGGAUAAAAGGUACUCCGGGGAUAACAGGCUGAUACCGCCCAAGAGUUCAUAUCGACGGCGGUGUUUGGCACCUCGAUGUCGGCUCAUCACAUCCUGGGGCUGAAGUAGGUCCCAAGGGUAUGGCUGUUCGCCAUUUAAAGUGGUACGCGAGCUGGGUUUAGAACGUCGUGAGACAGUUCGGUCCCUAUCUGCCGUGGGCGCUGGAGAACUGAGGGGGGCUGCUCCUAGUACGAGAGGACCGGAGUGGACGCAUCACUGGUGUUCGGGUUGUCAUGCCAAUGGCACUGCCCGGUAGCUAAAUGCGGAAGAGAUAAGUGCUGAAAGCAUCUAAGCACGAAACUUGCCCCGAGAUGAGUUCU
This 1605-nucleotide ribosomal RNA is filed under the name Salmonella enterica subsp. enterica serovar Edinburgh. RNAcentral describes it as "bacterial LSU rRNA". It matches the Rfam family "Bacterial large subunit ribosomal RNA", at positions 1223 to 2812 of the family's 2925-position model. Lineage: Bacteria; Pseudomonadati; Pseudomonadota; Gammaproteobacteria; Enterobacterales; Enterobacteriaceae. The record is from RNAcentral.